GAUGAACGCUGGCGGCGUGCCUAAUACAUGCAAGUCGAGCGGACAGAUGGGAGCUUGCUCCCUGAUGUUAGCGGCGGACGGGUGAGUAACACGUGGGUAACCUGCCUGUAAGACUGGGAUAACUCCGGGAAACCGGGGCUAAUACCGGAUGGUUGUUUGAACCGCAUGGUUCAAACAUAAAAGGUGGCUUCGGCUACCACUUACAGAUGGACCCGCGGCGCAUUAGCUAGUUGGUGAGGUAACGGCUCACCAAGGCAACGAUGCGUAGCCGACCUGAGAGGGUGAUCGGCCACACUGGGACUGAGACACGGCCCAGACUCCUACGGGAGGCAGCAGUAGGGAAUCUUCCGCAAUGGACGAAAGUCUGACGGAGCAACGCCGCGUGAGUGAUGAAGGUUUUCGGAUCGUAAAGCUCUGUUGUUAGGGAAGAACAAGUACCGUUCGAAUAGGGCGGUACCUUGACGGUACCUAACCAGAAAGCCACGGCUAACUACGUGCCAGCAGCCGCGGUAAUACGUAGGUGGCAAGCGUUGUCCGGAAUUAUUGGGCGUAAAGGGCUCGCAGGCGGUUUCUUAAGUCUGAUGUGAAAGCCCCCGGCUCAACCGGGGAGGGUCAUUGGAAACUGGGGAACUUGAGUGCAGAAGAGGAGAGUGGAAUUCCACGUGUAGCGGUGAAAUGCGUAGAGAUGUGGAGGAACACCAGUGGCGAAGGCGACUCUCUGGUCUGUAACUGACGCUGAGGAGCCAAAGCUUGGGGAGCGAACAGGAUUAGAUACCCUGGUAGUCCACGCCGUAAACGAUGAGUGCUAAGUGUUAGGGGGUUUCCGCCCCUUAGUGCUGCAGCUAACGCAUUAA
Molecule: ribosomal RNA, 854 nt
Filed under: Bacillus subtilis
Lineage: Bacteria; Bacillati; Bacillota; Bacilli; Caryophanales; Bacillaceae
Description: bacterial SSU rRNA
Rfam family: Bacterial small subunit ribosomal RNA
Source: RNAcentral